This 238-nucleotide ribosomal RNA is filed under the name uncultured bacterium. Its description in RNAcentral is "partial 16S ribosomal RNA". It matches the Rfam family "Bacterial small subunit ribosomal RNA", at positions 96 to 334 of the family's 1533-position model. The record is from RNAcentral.
CGGCGGACGGGUGAGUAACGCGUGGGUAACCUGCCUCAUACAGGGUGAUAACAGUUAGAAAUGACUGCUAAUACCGCAUAAGACCACGGUACCGCAUGGUACAGUGGUAAAAACUCCGGUGGUAUGAGAUGGAUCCGCGUCUGAUUAGGUAGUUGGUGGGGUAACGGCCUACCAAGCCGACGAUCAGUAGCCGACCUGAGAGGGUGACCGGCCACAUUGGGACUGAGACACGGCCCAG